RNAcentral lists this ribosomal RNA (252 nucleotides) under uncultured bacterium. RNAcentral describes it as "partial 16S ribosomal RNA". It matches the Rfam family "Bacterial small subunit ribosomal RNA", at positions 334 to 600 of the family's 1533-position model. The record is from RNAcentral.
UUCUGCCUACGGGAGGCAGCAGUGGGGAAUAUUGGGCAAUGCGCGCAAGCCUGACCCAGCAACGCCGCGUGAAGGAAGAAGGCUUUCGGGUUGUAAACUUCUUUUCUCAGGGACGAACAGAUGACGGUACCUGAGGAAUAAGCCACGGCUAACUACGUGCCAGCAGCCGCGGUAAUACGUAGGUGGCAAGUGUUAUCCGGAUUUACUGGGUGUAAAGGGAGUGUAGGCGGGGAAGGAAGGUAGAUGUGAAAA